ACUGCCGCUACUGCCCCACAUACACUGCCAGUACUGCCCCACAUACACUGCCAGUACUGCCCCACAUACACUGCUGCUACUGCACCACAAACACUGCUGCUACUGCCCCACAUACACUGCUGCUACUGCCCCACAUACACUGCCGCUACUGCCCCACAUACACUGCUGCUACUGCCCCACAUACACUGCUGCUACUGCCCCACAUACACUGCUGCUACUGCCCCACAUACACUGCUGCUACUGCCCCACAUACACUGCUGCUACUGCCCCACAUACACUGCUGCUACUGCCCCACAUACACUGCCUCUACUGCCCCACAUACACUGCUGCUACUGCCCCACAUACACUGCUGCUACUGCCCCACAUACACUGCUGCUACUGCCCCACAUACACUGCUGCUACUGCCCCACAUACACUGCUGCUACUGCACCACAAACACUGCUGCUACUGCCCCACAUACACUGCUGCUACUGCCCCACAUACACUGCUGCUACUGCCCCACAUACACUGCUGCUACUGCCCCACAUACACUGCUGCUACUGCCCCACAUACACUACCUCUUGUGCCCCACAUACACUGCCGCUACGGCCCCACUUACACUGCCGCUACUGCCCCACAUACACUGCUGCUACUGCCCCACAUACACUGCUGCUACUGCCCCACAUACACUGCUGCUACUGCCCCACAUACACUGCUGCUACUGCCCCACAUACACUGCUGCUACUGCCCCACUUACACUGCCACUACUGCCCCACAUACACUGCUUCUACUGCCCCACAUACACUGCCUCUACUGCCCCACUUAAACUGCCGCUACUGCCCCACAUACACUGCCAGUACUGCCCCACAUACACUGCUGCUACUGCCCCACAUACACUGCUGCUACUGCACCACAAACACUGCUGCUACUGCCCCACAUACACUGCUGCUACUGCCCCACAUACACUGCUGUUACUGCCCCACAUACACUGCUGCUACUGCCCCACAUACACUGCUGCUACUGCCCCACAUACACUGCCUCUACUGCCCCACAUACACUGCCGCUACUGCCCCACAUACACUGCUGCUACUGCCCCACAUACACUGCCUCUACUGCCCCACAUACAAUGCCGCUACUGCCCCACAUACACUGCUGCUACUGCCCCGCAUACACUGCUGCUACUGCCCCACAUACACUGCUGCUACUGCCCCACAUACACUGCCCCACAUACACUGCUGCUACUGCCCCACAUACACUGCUGCUACUGCCCCACAUACACUGCUGCUACUGCCCAACAUACACUGCUGCUACUGCCCCACAUACACUGCUGCUACUGCCCCACAUACACUGCUGCUACUGCCCCACAUACACUGCCCCACAUACACUGCUGCUACUGCCCCACAUACACUGCUGCUACUGCCCCACAUACACUGCCACUACUGCCCCACAUACAAUGCCGCUACUGCCCCACAUACACUGCCGCUACUGCCCCACAUACACUGCUGCUACUGCCCCACAUACACUGCUGCUACUGCCCCACAUACACUGCUGCUACUGCCCCACAUACACUGCUGCUACUGCCCCACAUACACUGCUGCUACUGCCCCACAUACACUGCUGCUACUGCCCCACAUACACUGCCCCACAUACACUGCUGCUACUGCCCCACAUACACUGCUGCUACUGCCCCACAUACACUGCCGCUACUGCCCCACAUACACUAACCCACAUACACUGCUGCUACUGCCCCACAUACACUGCCACUACUGCCCCACAUACACUGCCGCUACUGCCCCACAUACACUGCUGCUACUGCCCCACUUACACUGCCCCACAUACACUGCCGCUAUUGCCCCACAUACACUGCUGCUACUGCCCCACAUACACUGCUGCUACUGCCCCACAUACACUGCUGCUACUGCCCCACAUAAACUGCUGCUACUGCCCCACAUACACUGCCGCUACUGCCCCACAUACACUGCUGCUACUGCCCCACAUACAAUGCUGCUACUGCCCCACUUAAACUGCCGCUACUGCCCCACAUACACUGCCAGUACUGCCCCACAUACACUGCUGCUACUGCCCCACAUACACUGCUGCUACUGCCCCACAUACACUGCUGCUACUGCCCCUCUUAAACUGCCGCUACUGCCCCACAUACACUGCCAGUACUGCCCCACAUACACUGCCAGUACUGCCCCACAUACACUGCUGCUACUGCACCACAAACACUGCUGCUACUGCCCCACAUACACUGCUGCUACUGCCCCACAUACACUGCCGCUACUGCCCCACAUACACUGCUGCUACUGCCCCACAUACACUGCUGCUACUGCCCCACAUACACUGCUGCUACUGCCCCACAUACACUGCUGCUACUGCCCCACAUACACUGCUGCUACUGCCCCACAUACACUGCUGCUACUGCCCCACAUACACUGCUGCUACUGCCCCACAUACACUGCCUCUACUGCCCCACAUACACUGCUGCUACUGCCCCACAUACACUGCUGCUACUGCCCCACAUACACUGCUGCUACUGGCCCACAUACACUGCUGCUACUGCCCCACAUACACUGCUGCUACUGCACCACAAACACUGCUGCUACUGCCCCACAUACACUGCUGCUACUGCCCCACAUACACUGCUGCUACUGCCCCACAUACACUGCUGCUACUGCCCCACAUACACUGCUGCUACUGCCCCACAUACACUACCUCUUGUGCCCCACAUACACUGCCGCUACGGCCCCACUUACACUGCCGCUACUGCCCCACAUACACUGCUGCUACUGCCCCACAUACACUGCUGCUACUGCCCCACAUACACUGCUGCUACUGCCCCACAUACACUGCUGCUACUGCCCCACAUACACUGCUGCUACUGCCCCACUUACACUGCCACUACUGCCCCACAUACACUGCUUCUACUGCCCCACAUACACUGCCUCUACUGCCCCACUUAAACUGCCGCUACUGCCCCACAUACACUGCCAGUACUGCCCCACAUACACUGCUGCUACUGCCCCACAUACACUGCUGCUACUGCACCACAAACACUGCUGCUACUGCCCCACAUACACUGCUGCUACUGCCCCACAUACACUGCUGUUACUGCCCCACAUACACUGCUGCUACUGCCCCACAUACACUGCUGCUACUGCCCCACAUACACUGCCUCUACUGCCCCACAUACACUGCCACUACUGCCCCACAUACACUGCCGCUACUGCCCCACAUACACUGCUGCUACUGCCCCACUUACACUGCCCCACAUACACUGCCGCUAUUGCCCCACAUACACUGCUGCUACUGCCCCACAUACACUGCUGCUACUGCCCCACAUACACUGCUGCUACUGCCCCACAUAAACUGCUGCUACUGCCCCACAUACACUGCCGCUACUGCCCCACAUACACUGCUGCUACUGCCCCACAUACAAUGCUGCUACUGCCCCACUUAAACUGCCGCUACUGCCCCACAUACACUGCCAGUACUGCCCCACAUACACUGCUGCUACUGCCCCACAUACACUGCUGCUACUGCCCC
Molecule: long non-coding RNA, 3528 nt
Filed under: Oncorhynchus mykiss (rainbow trout)
Lineage: Eukaryota; Metazoa; Chordata; Actinopteri; Salmoniformes; Salmonidae
Description: lncRNA (ENSOMYG00000056320.1)
Source: RNAcentral